AACUAACGCUAUAUAAGUAUCAGUUUCUGUACUUUAUUGUUUGACAGACCAUCUCUCUCUGGUCCGUCAACACAGCCCUCUUGUACCCUAACCCUAGGACAUCGUCCGACACCUGUGUUCCUUGUGCGGUCACAGGUGUCGCAUCGCUCGCCUUCCUCGUUUUUCCUCCUCCCUCUCUGUCUCUGUUUCUCUGCCUUCGCCUUGUCACCGUCAUCGCCCCGAGUCCAUUACCUGUGCGUGGCGGUGAUGGCGGUGGUGAUGGCGGCGGAGGUGGUAGAAGGGAUCAGUGACUGUGAAGAAAGGAUGAGUGGGAGUCGGAAAGAAGAGGAAGGCAGAGCUGGCCCCGUGUGCGUGCCUGUCUGUCUGUGUGCCUGUACGUGCGUAUGUGUGUGUGCGUGUGUGUGGUGGUGGUGCAUUUCACGUUGCAGUCAUCGACGUCUGUACGCAUGCAGACAAGCACCACACGGGAGAUUGCGUCUGGUUGAUGAUGGCUCUGGCUGCUGCUCGUUGCGUGUGUAUGCGUGUGUGCGCGUACGUGUGCAUCUCCCGCAGUGAAAGUAUUCCGUGUUCUCUUGCCCAUCGGGCGGUUUUGUGCGGCGCGAUCCCCUUCACUUCUGAUAUAUGCAUGCACGUGUCUGCUUUUGUUUUCCGUCUCCGUCUCGCUGUCCCUCCACCACUGCGCAUCGCCACCAAUCGCGACUCUGUGUGCUUGCAUGUCUGUCCUUCGUCUCAGCACGCGCGUGCGCGCACACUAUGCCGGCCCUUCAUCGCUCAACGGCUCUUUUUCCGUUUCGCACCUGUGCCCUCAGGAGCGCGUAAGCACGCCUAAGCACACACCGUCACGCAGAAUCAGACCCCACGCGUGAUUGCAAGCGAUGCGGCCUCUCACUGCAGUCGAGGUGGGGCAACGGGCGCAGUCCGCCUUCUCCCUUUCUCAUUUGCUUUUCAGUAUGCUGGCCUUCUCGCCGUCGGUGAGGGUGUUAUGUGUGUGCGUGCGGGCGUGUGGUGCACCACCAUGGACUGUGAGAACUAGCACGGCCACUCAGGCAUGCACACAUACACGUGCACGUGCACGUGCACACGCGCGUGCACCGACUUUGUAGCGCGAUCCUCCGCCUCUCCAGUGUCGCGCACUUUGCGCUCUCUCUCGUGUGCUUUUCUCUCUCUCUACCUACAUCUGCAUCGGUGCGAUGUUGCAUGCAAAGAACAGGAUGGAAGUGGAAGUGGGGAAGGUUCACGUGACGCAAGAGAGAAGAGACGGGGAAGCGUUUUCAGAGGCGGGUGCGCACACGUGCGGCGUGUCUUGUGCGUGUGUGUGUGUGCAUGUCAAGCCACCUUAGCAAAUAGGGGAGGUGGGAGGUGUUUACUGUGUCCACUUGCCUGUCGCAUCGCACUGCCCGGCGUAUCCGUGUCGGCAAGCAUGUGUGUCGAUCUGUGCAAUAUCUGUGUGUUUGGGGUGUUCUUGCGUGCUUGAGACCGAGGGGGUCGGAACGAGUGGUGGAGGGGCCACGGCUGCCCUUGAUGUGUCACGCCGCGUACGAGAAGAAGAGGGAGGGUGGGUGAGCAUGAGGCCUGGUGAUGAUGGUGCGGUGAAGAGGUGAUGCGAGAGAAUCGGGUGAGAAGGGGCUAGCUGGUGGGAAGUACGCUCGUGUGUAUGUGUGUGUGUGUGUGUGCCCGUCUCGUGUGGAGAGGGGGCGGGAAGCAGACGGCGGUGAUAGGCAGGGUCCUGUGGUGUGUUGGUGAUGGGGCGGAGAAUGUAAAGGAAAGCCAAGAUGCGGAGAAGAACUGUGACUGAGCAUGUCAUCUGAGAAAGUGAGGGGUGGUGAUGCAAAGAGGGGCACAGACGACGGAGAAGUGGCGUGCACUUGCGUGUCUGUCCACGUAUGUGUGUGCGUAUGCGUAUAUGUCUAUGUGUGGGUGCGCGAGAGUUCGCUGGUCUUGCGUGGAUGCCGAAUGCGCGGCAGCCGUGUCCUGUGGUAUGGAGCUGCCCCUUCUUCCCGUUUUUAUCGACGCCACGCUGCGGUUCCCCUCGAUGCACUGUUGCGAGUCGAUAAGGCGAAAGAGAGUGGGGGAGGGGCAACGAGCGGCGCUCCUGGGUGCGUCUCAAGAUGCGCAUGUGUGUCUCGUGGAGGAAGGGAGAUGAGGGAAGACGAAAG
This 2156-nucleotide non-coding RNA is filed under the name Leishmania major. Lineage: Eukaryota; Euglenozoa; Kinetoplastea; Trypanosomatida; Trypanosomatidae. The record is from RNAcentral.